AGUGGGGAAUAUUGCACAAUGGGGGAAACCCUGAUGCAGCCAUGCCGCGUGUGUGAAGAAGGCCUUCGGGUUGUAAAGCACUUUCAGCGAGGAGGAAAGGUCAGUAGCUAAUAUCUGCUGACUGUGACGUUACUCGCAGAAGAAGCACCGGCUAACUCCGUGCCAGCAGCCGCGGUAAUACGGAGGGUGCAAGCGUUAAUCGGAAUUACUGGGCGUAAAGCGCACGCAGGCGGUUGGAUAAGUUAGAUGUGAAAGCCCCGGGCUCAACCUGGGAAUUGCAUUUAAAACUGUCCAGCUAGAGUCUUGUAGAGGGGGGUAGAAUUCCAGGUGUAGCGGUGAAAUGCGUAGAGAUCUGGAGGAAUACCGGUGGCGAAGGCGGCCCCCUGGACAAAGACUGACGCUCAGGUGCGAAAGCGUGGGGAGCAAA
This 427-nucleotide ribosomal RNA is filed under the name uncultured Aeromonas sp. RNAcentral describes it as "bacterial SSU rRNA". It matches the Rfam family "Bacterial small subunit ribosomal RNA", at positions 353 to 772 of the family's 1533-position model. Lineage: Bacteria; Pseudomonadati; Pseudomonadota; Gammaproteobacteria; Aeromonadales; Aeromonadaceae. The record is from RNAcentral.